This 305-nucleotide ribosomal RNA is filed under the name uncultured bacterium. RNAcentral's name for it is "bacterial SSU rRNA". It matches the Rfam family "Bacterial small subunit ribosomal RNA", at positions 335 to 637 of the family's 1533-position model. The record is from RNAcentral.
AUACCUACGGGGGGCAGCAGUGAGGAAUAUUGGUCAAUGGCCGAGAGGCUGAACCAGCCAAGUCGCGUGAGGGAAGAAUGUCCUAUGGAUUGUAAACCUCUUUUGUCAGGGAGCAAAGUCACCCACGUGUGGGUGUUGGAGAGUACCUGAAGAAAAAGCAUCGGCUAACUCCGUGCCAGCAGCCGCGGUAAUACGGAGGAUGCGAGCGUUAUCCGGAUUUACUGGGUGUAAAGGGAGCGUAGACGGGCCAGCAAGUCUGAUGUGAAAACCCGGGGCCCAACCCCGGGAGUGCAUUGGAAACUGCG